GUCAAAGACAAGAUGGCUGACGUAAAUAUGGCGUCCUACUAGCUGGAUAGUGACGCUUGUAUUUAACUUGGUUAAACUGAUUAAUUUUAUUAAUUUCAGAUAAUUGCAGCUUAUAAGAUACUUUGAAUUCUAAAAGUAUAGGUUGGGUUCGUGUUAUGGCGACGCCAAACAGUUACAAACAAAACACAUCGAUGUCGAUGCCAAGCCCUCAGAGCAAUCCGCACUACAUGAUUGCGGGGCCCCCCAUGAGUUUCGGUAUGAUGAAAGGCGGUAUGAAUGCACCGCCGCCGCACCAUAACCAAUACCAGUACCACCACCC
Long non-coding RNA from Trichoplusia ni (cabbage looper), 319 nucleotides. RefSeq lists it as uncharacterized. The record is from RefSeq and is a predicted model, not a curated record. The transcript is spliced from 4 exons. NCBI's taxonomy places the organism in Eukaryota, Metazoa, Arthropoda, Insecta, Lepidoptera, Noctuidae.